GCGGGGGUGGCGGAACGGUAUGCGCUCAUGCCUUGGAAGCAUGUGGGCGCAAGCCCGUGCCGGUUCGAAUCCGGUCCCCCGCA
This 83-nucleotide transfer RNA is filed under the name Terriglobia bacterium. RNAcentral's name for it is "tRNA-Pro". It matches the Rfam family "tRNA". From Rfam's summary of the family: Transfer RNA (tRNA) molecules are approximately 80 nucleotides in length. Their secondary structure includes four short double-helical elements and three loops (D, anti-codon, and T loops). Further hydrogen bonds mediate the characteristic L-shaped molecular structure. tRNAs have two regions of fundamental functional importance: the anti-codon, which is responsible for specific mRNA codon recognition, and the 3' end, to which the tRNAs corresponding amino acid is attached (by aminoacyl-tRNA synthetases). tRNAs cope with the degeneracy of the genetic code in two manners: having more than one tRNA (with a specific anti-codon) for a particular amino acid; and 'wobble' base-pairing, i.e. permitting non-standard base-pairing at the 3rd anti-codon position. The record is from RNAcentral. Lineage: Bacteria; Pseudomonadati; Acidobacteriota; Terriglobia.